GAUGAAGAACGUAGCGAAAUGCGAUACUUGGUGUGAAUUGCAGAAUCCCGUGAACCAUCGAGUUUUUGAACGCAAGUUGCGCCCGAAGCCGUUAGGCGGAGGGCACGCCUGCCUGGGUGUCACACAUCGUUGCCCCAAUGCCAAUCGCCUCACUUUGUAGGUAUUUGCUUGGGGUGAAUGUUGGCCUCCCGUGAGCUUUGUCUCACGGUUGGUUGAAAAUCGAGUGCAUGGUGUCGGGUGUACCAUGAUGGAUGGUGGUUGAGUGAUGAUGCUCGGUGACCCACAUGCGUCCCUUGGAUGCUCCCUAAGGAGACCUCAGGUCAGGCGGGGCUACCCGCUGAGUUUAAGCAUAUCAAUAAGCGGAGGA
RNAcentral lists this unclassified non-coding RNA (367 nucleotides) under soil metagenome. RNAcentral describes it as "partial contains 5.8S ribosomal RNA, internal transcribed spacer 2, and large subunit ribosomal RNA". The stretch from base 1 to 122 matches the Rfam family "5.8S ribosomal RNA", at positions 35 to 154 of the family's 154-position model. The record is from RNAcentral.